GGGAAGGGGGAAGGGGGGACGGUGGGGGAGGGGACGGUGGAGGGGUGAGGGGGGGUGGAGGGAAACCUGGUGGCGAUGGUGGUGGUGAGAAUCUAUUGGAGGUGUUCGGCGGUGGAGGGGGUGGAGGGGGAGAGGGUCUUGGGGGUGGAGGCGGUGGCGGGGGGGAGGGUCUAGGUGGAGUCGGUGGCGGCGGGGGAGGCGGUGUAGGAGGUGGAGGAGGGCGGGGAGGAAGUGGGGGUGGAGGUCGGGGAGGGGUAGGAGGCGACGGCGACGGCGAAGGUGGGGGUCGUAAAGGCGAUAGAGGUGGUGGCGUGGGCGAAGGCGGGGUCGGCGAAGGCGGUGUCGGCGAAGGCGGUGGGGGUGAAGGAAGGGGUGAUGGAGGCGUGGGCGAAGGCGGGGUCGGCGACGGCGGUGGAGGUGAAGGAAGGGGUGAUGGAGGCGUGGGCGAAGGCGGGGUCGGCGACGGCGGUGGAGGUGAAGGAAGGGGUGAUGGAGGCGUGGGCGAAGGCGGGGUCGGCGACGGCGGUGGAGGUGAAGGAAGGGGUGAUGGAGGCGUGGGCGAAGGCGGGGUCGGCGACGGCGGUGGAGGUGAAGGAAGGGGUGAUGGAGGCGUGGGCGAAGGCGGGGUCGGCGACGGCGGUGGAGGUGAAGGAAGGGGUGAUGGAGGCGCGGGCGAAGGCGGGGUCGGCGAAGGCGGUGGAGGUGAAGGAAGGGGUGAUGGAGGCGCGGGCGAAGGCGGUGUCGGCGAAGGCGGUGGAGGUGAAGGAAGGGGUGAUGGAGGCGCGGGCGAAGGCGGU
Molecule: long non-coding RNA, 797 nt
Filed under: Volvox carteri
Lineage: Eukaryota; Viridiplantae; Chlorophyta; Chlorophyceae; Chlamydomonadales; Volvocaceae
Description: long non-coding RNA (VCAR_LNC001861)
Source: RNAcentral